Molecule: long non-coding RNA, 3245 nt
Filed under: Homo sapiens (human)
Lineage: Eukaryota; Metazoa; Chordata; Mammalia; Primates; Hominidae
Description: long non-coding RNA NONHSAT205043.1
Source: RNAcentral
UACAUAAACAAUAGGGCAGAGGAAGCAAUCGGAUAGGCAUUUGCUUCAGGUGAGCAGAGGGAUGACUUUCUGUCCCACAUCUGUGAAGAUCAGCUGUUGGUUUACAUUGCCAGGGUGAAAUUCAACAGAACUAAUUUAGGGUGAAGAUCUUGAGGCCCACAAGGAAUUUCCUUGUGGGAAAAUUGUGAGGAAAUUCUUGGAGGCUGAAAGAACACAUGGAGAGCAGUGUUUUUCCAGCUUCUGUGUUGGUAAGAGCCUGGAGUCUCUCUCUCUGUCUCUCUCUCUCUCUCUCUCUCUCUCUCUAUCACACACACACACACACACACACACACACACACACAGAGCAAUCACUGCACCCAGCCACCUCUAUAUACAUGUACACAAAGCCACACAGUUUACACAGUCACAGGUAUUUAAGUACACACUAUUCACACACAAAUACAUAUAUAGACACACAUGUACAGUCCGUCCAAAAUAUAUGUACAUAAAAGCACACUAUUACACCUUCAUAUGUGCACACACACACACACCCAGACUCACUUCAUACACACAUAGAUACAACAGCCACAGCUCCCCAUCACCUACACACACACACACACACCUGGACACCCAGCUCUAAUAUAAUCAGAUAGAGAUAUGCAUGCAGACAAAUUUGCCUGUAUAGUCAAACACAUAGGCAAAUAGAGAACGAGACACCACAUGAACAAAGGCAAACCUACACACAAAGACACAGAGCACACUUACGCAUAUAUCUAUAGACCCACCAUGGCACAUAUGGGUAAGUGCACACAGGCAAACUCACACACACGAGCAUGCACAGGCAGAGAACACAAAUGUACACUCCCAGGUGUCAUAAAGAACAGCCCAGCUUCGGCUUGGGAACGUCACAUCAGACAAUAGGAACGGCUGCACCGCGCGUUUCCUCGGCUGCCAGCUUCCCAGCCACAGAGGAUGCCUCACCUGCUAUGUCAGCUCCCCUCUGCCCCACCUCACAAGAAGCUCAGAAGCUGAGGAGUCACAGAGAGACCUCCCUACUGUGUCAGAUAGCUGCUGUGUCACAAAGAUACUGGAAAGGGGCAAGGUGAAGGAGGAGACCAGCAGAGCAGCCACGGCCGGGACAGUGCAGAGGAGGGAAGAUGACACAGCUGUGAGACAUUUUGGGGAAUAGGUCCUUCUGUCACGGGGCACAGGACCCUUGACCGCAAAAUGACGUGAGUUACCACUGACUAUUUUCUGGGUCUUGAUCUUGUGACUCCAAAUGGAUGGUAAGCUCCUUAAGGGAAAGUCUAUGAUAUUCAUCCAACCACCCAUCCAUCCUUUCAUCCACCCAACCAUCCAUCCAUCUGACCAUCAUCCAUCCAUCCAUCCAUCCAUCUAUCCAUCUUCUAUCCAUCUGUCUACUCACCCAUCCACCCAUCCAUUCAAUUAUUCAUCCAUCCCUCUUCCAUCCAUUCACCCAUCUUCCAUCCAUCUGUCCACCCAUCCAUUCCACCAUUUAUCCAUCCAACCACCAUCUAUUCAUCCAACCACUCGUCUAUUCAUCCCUCUGACCAUCCAACCAUCCAUCGAUUUGUUCAAUUAUUUUAUCAAGCAUCUACACUGCACCACACACCCUAAUGGGUGUUGGGGAGAAAAUGGAGAGUAAAAUCAGAUGGGACCUCUGACCUCAGUGCGGCUGACCAUCAGUCCGGUAGAGGAGACACGUAAACUGACAAUUAUAAAUAAACACAAUGUGUCAACUCUGACAAGUGCUGUGAGGGAGAAAUCAGCAGUACUGAGAAAGCCUUUAUGGUCCUGGUGUGAGAGGUGGGAUGAGCCCAACACAGCAACAACAGCAAGACCAUGGGGGAGUGUGGUGCAGAUGGGCAGGUGUACAGAGCAUGCAGGCCAUGUCUGCCAGCCCUCUCUUUGUGCAUUAGCAACAGUAAAACGGGGCUUGUGUUUGGGCAGAUUAUACCACUGGUCUUGCAUCCCAAAUGUCUCUUUGUUCACUCGUUUAUACAAACAUGCUCAAUAAUAUUUAUGCAUUUUUACUGUGACAUCAUUUUCUUAUAUAAUAAAAGUGCCUAUUUAUAUACCGUAUAUGUAUAUAUAUAAUACACAGAUGCACACACACAAGCACACAUGCACAGAGCUUCUUGACAGUCAGUCCCUCAUAAGGUAGUCCACUGAAGUGCAGUCAUCACCAUCCUCAGACCUCAUGAUUAUAUAACUAGAGCACCUUAUAUUUUUAUAUUUUAUUAUGUAUUUAAUAAUCACAUAACUCUUUAGUGAAUGCCAAUUAAUUAGGAGAAUGACAUGCCUUCUCUCUGCUCCUCAUAAUAUCCCCCUUAGAUAGGUUUUAUCUCCCCACUUACAAGAUGUGGAGACUGGGCCGGGCACGGUGACUCACGCCUGUAAUCCCAGCACUUUGGGAGGAUGAGGCGGGUGGAUCACAUGAGAUCAGGAGUUUGAGACCAUCCUGGCCAACAUGACAAAACCGUCUCCUCUAAAAAUACCAAAAUUAGCUGGGACUGGUGGCACGUUCCUUUAAUCCCAGCUACUCGGGAGGUUGAGGCAGGAGAAUUGCUUGAACCCAGGAGGCAGAGGUUGUAGUGAGCCAAGAUCGUGCCACUGCACUCCAGCCUUGGUGACAGAGCAAGACUCUGUCUCAAAAAACAAACAAACACAGGUACAGCUUGAGCAAAGACACAGAAGCAGAAGGCAGGUUUUUGGUUCCAUGAACUCUACAUCUGGCUACAUACAAAUGGUGAAGAGGAACAGGGAGAAACAUGGUUGAAAAGAACAGGCUUGGACUUCAGGAAGCAGUAAAAUGAGCGAAUGCCAUUUAUGGUUACAAAGAUAACUCAGCUGGGGGCCAAACAGAGACUGAAAUGGAGUGGGUGAGGAUGGAGGCCGGGAGGAGAUGGCUGCAGAGGUCCCAGCAAUGACAGUGGUUGUGGGAAGGGGCAACCCCAAGUCUUGUGCUCCCAACUGCAAAUCCGGUCUCCAGGACACAUGUGCAUGAGUUCCUCUAGGAAACCACGGUGUACAACUGCUGGGUUGCAGGCCCAGGGUUCUUUCCACUUCUCUAUCCUCCCAAGUAGGGUCCAGCUGGCCUUAGUGCUGCCAUGCUGAGAGCUCUGGGAGGGGCAACCCAGGGCAGACAGGCCCAGGCCAGCCACCCUGCCCCAGGCAUUUCCCAGGACUCAUCAGGCACCCAGCGGCCCCUCAGCAGUGAGCAAUACCAGAAAUCUGCCAGCUGG